GAUGAACGCUGGCGGCGUGCCUAAUACAUGCAAGUCGAGCGAACAGACGAGGAGCUUGCUCCUCUGACGUUAGCGGCGGACGGGUGAGUAACACGUGGAUAACCUACCUAUAAGACUGGGAUAACUUCGGGAAACCGGAGCUAAUACCGGAUAAUAUAUUGAACAGCAUGGUUAAAUAGUGAAAGACGGUUUUGCUGUCACUUAUAGAUGGAUCCGAGCCGCAUUAGCUAGUUGGUAAGGUAACGGCUUACCAAGGCAACAAUGAGUAGCUGACCUAAGAGGAUGAUCCGCCACACUGGAACUGAGACACAGUCCAGACUCCUACGGGAGGCAGCAGUAGGGAAUCUUCCGCAAUGGGCGAAAGCCUGACGGAGCAACGCCGCGUGAGUGAUGAAGGUCUUCGGAUCGUAAAACUCUGUUAUUAGGGAAGAACAAAUGUGUAAGUAACUAUGCACGUCUUGACGGUACCUAAUCAGAAAGCCACGGCUAACUACGUG
This 497-nucleotide ribosomal RNA is filed under the name uncultured bacterium. RNAcentral describes it as "partial 16S ribosomal RNA". It matches the Rfam family "Bacterial small subunit ribosomal RNA", at positions 28 to 507 of the family's 1533-position model. The record is from RNAcentral.